GCCUGGGUGGCUCAAUCGGUUAAGCAUCUGACUUAGGCUCAGGUCAUGAUCUCACAGUUUGUGAGUUCGAGCCCCACAUCGGGCU
This 85-nucleotide transfer RNA is filed under the name Felis catus (domestic cat). It matches the Rfam family "tRNA". From Rfam's summary of the family: Transfer RNA (tRNA) molecules are approximately 80 nucleotides in length. Their secondary structure includes four short double-helical elements and three loops (D, anti-codon, and T loops). The record is from Rfam by way of RNAcentral. Lineage: Eukaryota; Metazoa; Chordata; Mammalia; Carnivora; Felidae.